Molecule: small RNA, 499 nt
Filed under: Pongo abelii (Sumatran orangutan)
Lineage: Eukaryota; Metazoa; Chordata; Mammalia; Primates; Hominidae
Description: retained intron
Source: RNAcentral
UCUGUGAAGUAGCUAAUAAUAUAGAACAGAAUGCUCAAGAGAAUGAAAAUGAAAGCCAAGUUUCAACAGAUGAAAGUGAGAACUCCAGGUCUCCUGGAAAUAAAUCAGAUAACAUCAAACCCAAAUCUGCUCCAUGGAACUCCUUUCUCCCUCCACCACCCCCCAUGCCAGGGCCAAGACUGGGACCAGGAAAGCCAGGUCUAAAAUUCAAUGGCCCACCACCGCCGCCGCCACCACCACCACCCCACUUACUAUCCUGCUGGCUGCCUCCAUUUCCUUCUGGACCACCAAUAAUUCCCCCACCACCUCCCAUAUGUCCAGAUUCUCUUGAUGAUGCUGAUGCUUUGGGAAGUAUGUUAAUUUCGUGGUACAUGAGUGGCUAUCAUACUGGCUAUUAUAUGGUAAGUAAUCACUUAGCAUCUUUUCCUGACAAUUUCUUUGUAGUUAUGUGACUUUGUUUUGUAAAUUUAUAAAAUACUACUUGCUUCUCUCUUUAUAU